Molecule: non-coding RNA, 247 nt
Organism: Anas platyrhynchos (mallard)
Lineage: Eukaryota; Metazoa; Chordata; Aves; Anseriformes; Anatidae
Source: RefSeq, a predicted model, not a curated record
GCAUGCUAUCAGAGAGCUCCUUCUGCCUGGGCUGCUCCUUGGGAGGACUAAAACCAGCUGCAUUUCAUGCUACAUGUGGCUUGGCAGGGUAGAUGCAGCAUUGCCAAGAGACUGAGCAGGGUUGUAUCAGAGUCACCUCUUUCAUCUGCAAAGGGUGCUUUGUGUGCAGUCGUGGACAGGGAAGGGAUAUCCUCGUGUGAUGGAGCUCUGAGGGAAGGUGUUGUGGAUGAUGGUGGCCGCUCCUUUC